Molecule: ribosomal RNA, 500 nt
Filed under: uncultured bacterium
Lineage: Bacteria
Description: partial 16S ribosomal RNA
Rfam family: Bacterial small subunit ribosomal RNA
Source: RNAcentral
GAUGAACGCUAGCGGCAGGCUUAAUACAUGCAAGUCGAGGGACAGCACAGGUAGCAAUACUGGGUGGUAACCGGCAAACGGGUGCGGAACACGUACACAACCUUCCUUUAAGUGGGGGAUAGCCCAGAGAAAUUUGGAUUAAUACCCCGUAAUAUAGUUGAAUGGCAUCAUUUGAUUAUUAUAGCUACGGCGCUUAAUGAUGGGUGUGCGGCUGAGUAGAUAGUUGGCGGGGUACCGGCCCACCAAGUCUACGAUCAGUAGCUGAUGUGAGAGCAUUAUCAGCCACACGGGCACUGAGACACGGGCCCGACUCCUACGGGAGGCAGCAGUAAGGAAUAUUGGUCGAUGGACGCAAGUCUGAACCAGCCAUGCCGCGUGAAGGAUUAAGGUCCUCUGGAUUGUAAACUUCUUUUAUUUGGGACGAAAAAGGGUCUUUCUAGGUCAACUGACGGUACCAGAUGAAUAAGCACCGGCUAACUCCGUGCCAGCCGCCGCAGUAA